CUUGCGGUGGCCGAGGGGUUAAGGCGUUGGACUCGAAAUCCAAUGGGAUCUUCCCGCGCAGGUUCGAAUCCUGCCCGCAACG
This 82-nucleotide transfer RNA is filed under the name Nematostella vectensis (starlet sea anemone). It matches the Rfam family "tRNA". From Rfam's summary of the family: Transfer RNA (tRNA) molecules are approximately 80 nucleotides in length. Lineage: Eukaryota; Metazoa; Cnidaria; Anthozoa; Actiniaria; Edwardsiidae. The record is from Rfam by way of RNAcentral.